Molecule: ribosomal RNA, 674 nt
Filed under: uncultured bacterium
Lineage: Bacteria
Description: bacterial SSU rRNA
Rfam family: Bacterial small subunit ribosomal RNA
Source: RNAcentral
GGAUGAAGGGAGCUUGCUCCCGGAUUCAGCGGCGGACGGGUGAGCAAUGCCUAGGAAUCUGCCUGGUAGUGGGGGACAACGUUUCGAAAGGAACGCUAAUACCGCAUACGUCCUACGGGAGAAAGCAGGGGACCUUCGGGCCUUGCGCUAUCAGAUGAGCCUAGGUCGGAUUAGCUAGUUGGUGGGGUAAAGGCCUACCAAGGCGACGAUCCGUAACUGGUCUGAGAGGAUGAUCAGUCACACUGGAACUGAGACACGGUCCAGACUCCUACGGGAGGCAGCAGUGGGGAAUAUUGGACAAUGGGCGAAAGCCUGAUCCAGCCAUGCCGCGUGUGUGAAGAAGGUCUUCGGAUUGUAAAGCACUUUAAGUUGGGAGGAAGGGCAGUAAGUUAAUACCUUGCUGUUUUGACGUUACCAACAGAAUAAGCACCGGCUAACUUCGUGCCAGCAGCCGCGGUAAUACGAAGGGUGCAAGCGUUAAUCGGAAUUACUGGGCGUAAAGCGCGCGUAGGUGGUUUGGUAAGAUGGAUGUGAAAUCCCCGGGCUCAACCUGGGAACUGCAUCCAUAACUGCCUGACUAGAGUACGGUAGAGGGUGGUGGAAUUUCCUGUGUAGCGGUGAAAUGCGUAGAUAUAGGAAGGAACACCAGUGGCGAAGGCGACCACCUGGACUGA